This 415-nucleotide RNase P RNA is filed under the name Nocardioides euryhalodurans. RNAcentral's name for it is "Bacterial RNase P class A". It matches the Rfam family "Bacterial RNase P class A". Rfam says of the family: Ribonuclease P (RNase P) is a ubiquitous endoribonuclease, found in archaea, bacteria and eukarya as well as chloroplasts and mitochondria. The record is from Rfam by way of RNAcentral. Lineage: Bacteria; Bacillati; Actinomycetota; Actinomycetes; Propionibacteriales; Nocardioidaceae.
CGGGCUGACCGGGCGACCGCGUCGCGCUCCUCCGGGAGCGCGCCGAGGAAGGUCCGGGCUCCACAGGGCAAGGUGGUGGGUAACUCCCACCCGGGGCAACCUGCGGGACAGUGCCACAGAGAACAGACCGCCACUUCCGCUGCUGGUCAGGGGAAGGGGCAAGGGUGAAACGGUGGUGCAAGAGACCACCAGCGGUCCGGGUGACCGGGCCGGCUAGGCAAACCCCACCUGGAGCAAGGUCAAGAAGUCCGGGGCCACGGCCCCGGACGCGCGUGCGUCUGAGGGCGGCCCGCCCGAGCACGCGGGUAGACCGCUGGAGGCGGCCGGCAACGGUCGUCCUAGAUGGAUGGUCGCCCCCGUCGUACGGGACUCCCGUACGACGGGACAGGACCCGGCCUACAGGUCAGCCCGUCCG